CUCUUAGAUCUCUCUCUCUGCGGAAGCCAGCCACCGCUCUCCAAGGACUCUCGAGCAGCUCCAUCUACAGAUUCACAUGGAGAAGAAUUAAGGGUUCCUGCCAAUCACCAGCACCACUUUGCCAGCCUUGUAAGUGGGCCACCUUGGAAUUGGAGCCUCCAGUUCCUACUGACAUCUGACUGCAACAUCAUGAGAGACCCUGAGUUUGAACCACCCAGCUGAGCUGCUUCUGAGCUAACCCACUGAAACCGUGAAAGUACCUGAAUGAAACAACACCCAGUAGCCACUAGCACACCUAGCUCCCAGAUCUGUUUUUGAUGCCAUUCUUCAGUAAAAGGAAGCAAGGCUGCUUGGAGAAAUUGCUAUCAAGGACUGGGGUAGAAAAUAUACAAGAUGAAAUUGGAGCAUCUUGUAGUGCUUGAAAACAGUUGGCAUCUGUGUGAAGAUGUGAAUGGAGGAGGCAGAGUAGGCAGUGAGUGCCGCAGCCACAGCUUGUGUUCUCUGCAGCCCUGGCACAGAAGAUAGGAACACUCAUGGGGGAUGCGGCCACUGUGAUGUCUUCCCACACAAGAAGUGCCAAGUGCUUUUCUCAUGCUUUUCUGGAUUGUCCCAUGGUGGACGAGUCAGCAGGAGUGAGAUGGAGCAGCACAGUAGAGGGGUACCUGGCAAGGCCCGGAGGGAGGACCCCCUGCCCCAAACAUUUCAAUGAUAUCAGGUGACAGCCGUGAUCCUCUUAGCACCUGCUCUGUUUUGUCCCAGGCCAGGAUAUCGUUGUACAUAUUCUCAGCUAAGUGAGCACCAAUAGAGGAGAGGGAGAGUCUCAUGGAAGUUCCUUCUAAGCCUUUGGCUCUUUUUACCUUCAACAAGGUGUGCCACCUCUUUGAUCCAGCAAGUGGGAAGAACAGUCCCGGCCUCUUUGCACACAAGACCGUGAUACCAAUGCACCAUCACAGGCCCCACAGGGGAGCUGUCCGCUUCCCCACACAGCUGCUAGGGGCUCUUUUGCAUGUUCCCAACCUUUCCUGCCUUUAUCUGAUAUUCCUUUACUAAUACAGGGCUCUUGUUUCCCUCAGGUUCCUUAGAUCCUGGGAUGAGGAGGUGGACCAGCAGAAGGUGGGCUUGUGAAGGCAGCCCGGGGUCCAAAUCCUCCUGGCUCUUCAGCUUAGCGGGUUAGUUAACAUUCAGAAGCCUUCAUCUCCCAUCUGCAAAAUGGGCAUGUCCAACUCAGAAGCUGCCUUGAAGAAAGGGUCUACCCAGCAUGGUGCGUGGAGCCUAAGCAGUCAGUACUUCAGGACUUCACCCGGCCCCUUUCCAAUAACUGCUGCUGUCGCCCUCACAGGAUGUCACCUUCAGCGUCUGAAAGCUGGGUUUGAUGCGUCUGGAAAGGCGUCCCUGACAGGCGUCGUUGCCAGGAGCCCCUAGUGCCACCAGCAGCCAGCAGGGGAGGGCGUCCUCUGCCCGCUCACUUCUGACCCUUCUCUCGUUGCACCCGGAACAUGGUGCAGCUGGGAGCAGCCUGGGCUGCGCGGAAGGCUCAGAUUUGGGGACGGCCCUUGCCAGUGACUGUGAGCUGGGGUGUCUUGGAAACUCCCAGUCUCAGCUUCUCCAUUUAUAAGAUGAGAAUGAUCAUACCAGACUCAGGCAAGGUUGUUUGUGCAUUAGUGAAAUCAGACGUAUUAAAUAAAGUACCACAUUGAUCGUGGAGUUGUUGAAUAACCAAGAACACGCCUAUCUGUC
RNAcentral lists this long non-coding RNA (1737 nucleotides) under Homo sapiens (human). RNAcentral's name for it is "HSALNT0263820". The record is from RNAcentral. Lineage: Eukaryota; Metazoa; Chordata; Mammalia; Primates; Hominidae.